RNAcentral lists this transfer RNA (46 nucleotides) under Myotis lucifugus lucifugus. Its description in RNAcentral is "partial tRNA-Val". Lineage: Eukaryota; Metazoa; Chordata; Mammalia; Chiroptera; Vespertilionidae. The record is from RNAcentral.
GCACCUAGUUUACACCUAGAAGAUUUCACAUUAAAUGACCACUUUG